This 253-nucleotide ribosomal RNA is filed under the name uncultured bacterium. RNAcentral describes it as "partial 16S ribosomal RNA". It matches the Rfam family "Bacterial small subunit ribosomal RNA", at positions 524 to 776 of the family's 1533-position model. The record is from RNAcentral.
UACGGAGGAUGCAAGCGUUAUCCGGAUUUACUGGGUUUAAAGGGUGCGUAGGCGGGUUGUUAAGUCAGUGGUGAAAGAUUUGAGCUCAACUCAAAAACUGCCAUUGAUACUGACAAUCUUGAAUAUAGUUGAGGUGGGCGGAAUGUGUCAUGUAGCGGUGAAAUGCUUAGAUAUGACACAGAACACCGAUUGCGAAGGCAGCUUGCGUAACUAUUAUUGACGCUGAGGCACGAAAGCGUGGGGAGCGAACAGG